CUUAAAUGAAUUGACGGGACCGCACAAGCAGCGGAGCGUGUGGUUUAAUUCGUUGCUACACGAAGAACCUUACCUGGGUUUGACAUAUAAGUUGUAGGGAACUGAAAAGGACCGACCUUCGGGAGCUUAUACAGGUGUUGCAUGGCUGUCGUCAGCUCGUGUCGUGAGAUGUUCGGUUAAGUCCGCUAACGAGCGCAACCCUCGCCGUAUGUUACAAGUGUCAUACGGGACUGCCGGUAAAAAGCCGGAGGAAGGUGAGGAUGAUGUCAAGUCAGCAUGGCCUUUAUGUCCUGGGCUACACACACGCUACAAUGGCCAGCACAGUAGGUUGCGAAACCGCGAGGUGGAGCCAAUCCCUAAAGUUGGCCUCAGUUCAGAUUGUAGGCUGCAACCCGCCUGCAUGAAGAUGGAGUUGCUAGUAAACGCAGGUCAGCUACACUGCGUUGAAUACGUUCCCGGAGAUU
This 464-nucleotide ribosomal RNA is filed under the name uncultured Leptolinea sp. RNAcentral describes it as "bacterial SSU rRNA". It matches the Rfam family "Bacterial small subunit ribosomal RNA", at positions 900 to 1382 of the family's 1533-position model. The record is from RNAcentral. Lineage: Bacteria; Bacillati; Chloroflexota; Anaerolineae; Anaerolineales; Anaerolineaceae.